Molecule: long non-coding RNA, 192 nt
Organism: Physella acuta
Lineage: Eukaryota; Metazoa; Mollusca; Gastropoda; Physidae
Source: RefSeq, a predicted model, not a curated record
CGAGAACCUCGCUGACGCUAGGGUUGAGUAUUCCUACAUCAACUGGAGGACGCUCAGAUGGCGGGGUAACUCUGUUCUCUCCUCCUUCAGUGCCAUUGAUCUUAAAGGAAGUUAUUUGUCUGAUUCAAACACCAUUGCUAUAAUGACUGGGAUUUUGUUGCCGCCUCUAUUUAAAAAGUCGUAUCCAAUGUA